ACGGAAUCUUACCUGACAUUGAGGUGUGAGCCCAGAUGAGCACGGGGACAAAGGGUCAGGAGAGGAUGCUGUGGCAGACUCAGGGUGGGGACCCAAACCAGGGCCUAUAAGAAGCAAUUAGAGCAAGGGGCUCAUGUCCCAAGUCAGGGGGACCUGGGUUUGAGAUCUACUGGCAAACAGGGUGUCUUCCAGGGCUGGCAUUAACACUGGCUACAGUGGGGCCUGGGGGGCUGGAUCUGCCAGAGGUGGGUGAAUGUAGCCCUGUCACCUGCUAACGCUACACCCUGGACAGCUUCCAUUACAUGGUACAGCCUCACACCCAGCUUCUCCUGUAAGAGUGGCCUCUGGGAAUGAGGGAACAGGACAGAGUUUGUUGAUCUUUGGAGAAGAGCCAUCUUCAUAAAAUAAAUGGGCUUGGUGUGUUUUUACACGGAGACCACUGUCUUACUGUGCCAGGUGCUGCUCAUUUCUCCUUGAUUCUCCAACAAACAUUUGCUGAGUGGCCAGUACUUGACCAGAGAAGGCAAUGGCAACCCAUUCCAGCACUCUUUCCUGGAAAAUCCCAGGGAUGGGGGAGCCUGGUGGGCUGCCGUCUAUGGGGUCACACGAGUCGGACACGACUGAAGCGACUUAGCAGCAGCAACAGCAGCAGCAGUACUUGACAGGUGCCAGGGCAACAGAUGUCAUGUGUCUGCACCCAGGAGCUGCCAGACAAGAACUCAGACAAUUAUUUCUCUUUCUCACAGCCAUGCCCUGCACAGACCACAGUGAUUGUCUCCUGCUGUGAAUGCCAAGAAGACAGGAUAAGCCAGAUGGAGGGAAAAUUGGAUGUUUUUUAUCACUUUCUUCAGCGCUGCAGCCUGGUGCCAUUGAUGCGGUAUCCAACCAGAGACAUGGUAAGCAGGACACAGGGGUGCUCUCCAUGGGCUGGGGUCUUGGUUUUGCCCUUGAAAAUUGUUCCCUGGGACUGUGAAUCAGAGAACCCUGUCCCAGCAUCUGCUGAGAGAAAUGCCCAAGAUGUAGAAAGACCUGGAGGUCAUGAGCCUUCAGAUGAUUCUUCACAGGACACCCAAGCAUUUCCCCUGCAUCCUCAUCAAGGAUAUCAGGUCUGUUCUCCAGAACAAUGCCAAGAACUUCCAAUCCUGAGUAAAAAGGGCUGUGAGGUGUAUUUGCCUCCGUCCGUCAUCCCUCCCGACUACUU
This 1201-nucleotide long non-coding RNA is filed under the name Bos grunniens (domestic yak). Its description in RNAcentral is "lncRNA (ENSBGRG00000008190.1)". The record is from RNAcentral. Lineage: Eukaryota; Metazoa; Chordata; Mammalia; Artiodactyla; Bovidae.